GAGUUUGAUCAUGGCUCAGAAUCAACGCUGGCGGCGUGCCUAACACAUGCAAGUCGCACGAGAAAGGGUCUUCGGAUCUGAGUAAAGUGGCGCACGGGUGAGUAACACGUGAAUGAUCUACCUUCGAGUGGGGAAUAACUGAGAGAAAUCUUAGCUAAUACCGCAUAAUACCUACGGGUCAAAGCCGCAAGGCGCUUGAAGAGGAGUUCGCGGCCGAUUAGCUAGUUGGCGGGGUAAUGGCCCACCAAGGCGAUGAUCGGUAUCCGGCCUGAGAGGGCGCACGGACACACUGGAACUGAAACACGGUCCAGACUCCUACGGGAGGCAGCAGUGGGGAAUUUUGCGCAAUGGGGGAAACCCUGACGCAGCAACGCCGCGUGGAGGAUGAAGUAUCUUGGUACGUAAACUCCUUUCGAUGGGGAAGAUAAUGACGGUACCCAUAGAAGAAGCCCCGGCUAACUUCGUACCAGCAGCCGCGGUAAUACG
RNAcentral lists this ribosomal RNA (486 nucleotides) under uncultured eubacterium WR8152. RNAcentral describes it as "bacterial SSU rRNA". It matches the Rfam family "Bacterial small subunit ribosomal RNA", at positions 9 to 527 of the family's 1533-position model. The record is from RNAcentral.